UACCUGGUCUUGACAUCCACAGAACUUUCCAGAGAUGGAUUGGUGCCUUCGGGAACUGUGAGACAGGUGCUGCAUGGCUGUCGUCAGCUCGUGUUGUGAAAUGUUGGGUUAAGUCCCGCAACGAGCGCAACCCUUAUCCUUUGUUGCCAGCGGUCCGGCCGGGAACUCAAAGGAGACUGCCAGUGAUAAACUGGAGGAAGGUGGGGAUGACGUCAAGUCAUCAUGGCCCUUACGGCCAGGGCUACACACGUGCUACAAUGGCAUAUACAAAGAGAAGCGACCUCGCGAGAGCAAGCGGACCUCAUAAAGUAUGUCGUAGUC
Molecule: ribosomal RNA, 321 nt
Filed under: Acinetobacter baumannii
Lineage: Bacteria; Pseudomonadati; Pseudomonadota; Gammaproteobacteria; Moraxellales; Moraxellaceae
Description: bacterial SSU rRNA
Rfam family: Bacterial small subunit ribosomal RNA
Source: RNAcentral